This 54-nucleotide ribosomal RNA is filed under the name Bacillus sp. SA1-12. RNAcentral's name for it is "partial 23S ribosomal RNA". Lineage: Bacteria; Bacillati; Bacillota; Bacilli; Caryophanales; Bacillaceae. The record is from RNAcentral.
AGCGCGGUGACGUGUGGAGCUGACUGAUACUAAUCGAUCGAGGACUUAACCUAA